UACUCUAUUCGCUAUGAUUGUUGUUAAACUCUCAUGAUUGUUUGAAUGUUUUUUCGACUUUAUUUUUGAUGAAUAUCAAUGUUUUUACUUGAAUGAACUACAUUACGACCACUAUGUAAUUGAUAUUUCUGAUACUUACUUGAAACCAUGAAAACACAUUCAGUAGAAAAUCUCAACCGAAACACCAAACUAUUUAAAACGUUUUGUGGUGUGUUGAUCUGUAUGUUCGACUUGAGGAUGUUUAAUUGGAACUGAAUUUUUUGUGGAUGUUGGGAUUUAAUUGACGAGGAAUGUUUGAUUUUUAUGAUUGUUUCUUGAAGUUUAGAAAUUGAUCACUUUCCCUUGUCUCCCUUUGAACUUGAAAACAAGCCGAGUUGAUGACACUUUAGUUUUUAGUUCGUGAUAGUAAUUUUUUAACAACUCUAUGAUUUGUGCAAUUGAUAAUUUUAAAAUUACACUGUUCACCGCUGAAUUUUGUUUGAAGUCGCCAUAAAGUAAAUAUGAGAAGGAAUUUAUGGCAUGAAUUACAUCCUUCUUUUUCUUCUCUUCUUCUCUGCUUCUUUUCUCUGUUUCUCUACUGCGAGUUUGCUGCUACAGUUCUUUUUCAUCCUGCAGUCCAUAACUUUUCUUUGUUUUUUACUUUUCUUCUUCUUAAUGGAGCUGCUGGAAGUAAUUUAUGAAUUGAGUUACAUUCUAGAACUAGAACUGAAAAUUAUAUUUUGAAGUGAGAACAUGUUUUGAGUGCUAAAUUCAAUAAAAAGUUCAUUGGGGUUGAGGAAAGGGAACUGAAUUCAUUUAGAAUAUAGCUUGGUUGCUCAACCUUGUUUAGGAAAGAUGUACAUGGCAGAUUAGCUACAGUUACGUUCUAUCAAGUUGUUGUUAAACUGUUUUGGGCUAACUCUUGAGUAGCGUUAUUUGAAGCGUGCACUUUGUCGCUUAAAGCGAGAAGAUAAGAGAAGCUAUAUUGCUUUAUUAUAGUGAGACGUGGCUAUAGAUAAAGAGUGAGAGGUUCAGUCCCAGAAGCUAAAAAAGCUCGCUUUUCUUCUAAAACGAGGUUGGCAGUAUAUAGAUCUUUUUUUUAAAAAAAAAAUCAUAAUAAAAAACUUCGCGAUUUAUUUCCAAAGAUUUUCCUUUGUUUCACUUCUCUUGUUGCGACGCUUUUUCAAGCGAUUGCAAGGUAAGCUUUUCAGCUUUUCUUCUUCUCUUAUUUUGUUCUUGUUUUCUCUGUUUCUCUAUUUCUCUGUUGUGCGAGCUAGCUGCUACAGUUAUUUUUGACCUGCAGUUUGCAAGUUUUCUCUGUUUUUUAUUCUUUUGUUCUUGAAGAAGCUGCUGGAAAGAAUUUAUGACCUGAGUUACAUUCUUGAGUCUAGAACUGAAAAUUAUUUGAGUGUUAAAAUUCUAUAGAAAGUUCAUUGGGUUGAAGAAAGGAAACUAGAUACAGUUUGAGCUGAAAGUUUAGAAUAUAGCUCAGUUGCUCCAAUUUGUUUCAGGUAAAGUGUACAUGGUUGUUUAGCUACAUUUCUAUCUAGUUAUUAUUGUUGUUUUGGGCGAACUCUGGAGUAUUGUUCUUAAAAGCGAGUAUUUUGUCGCUUGAAGCGAGAAGCGAUGUGAAGCUGUAUUGCUUGUUUCUCGAUUAUUUUGUCCAUUUUUUUUGUUGUUCUGUCUCUGUUUUACUGCCUCUUUUUGUUUUAUGAAUUGAUUUUUCUAUUAAGAUCUUGGUUUUUAACUAUGUAUAUUUAAUAGAUCUUAAGAAUUAAAAGUUUUUCUUUAGUUGAAAAAGUGUGCGCUUGGUUUCACACUUUUUGCUUUAGUGAAGCGAGCCCUUAUUACUUCUCGUUUCGUAAAGUGAGCCCUUAUCAAGUGAGCUUUAAUUGUGAGUUAUUGACAAUUCAUUAUAGCUACUGAUAUUGUCAAGAUAUGAAACUGCUUUAUAGGUGAAUGUCUUCAGUUUUGAGAUGGUAUAGUGUGAAUUUAUUUUUUAUAAAACUGAUGUACUUAUUUAUUUCAAGUAAUUUGAAUUGCAAUCAGAAUCUCUGAAUACUUGGACUGUCAUAAACUUAAAUCUAGAAGUACGAGCUACAAAAUCACAUGUAGAUUCUGUAAUUUCUCCUUGAUCAUGAAUAUCUUGAGCAACCCUUCUUAGAAUAUUCUUAACUGUGCAAUCUUUAUCUUGAUGGUUCCUUUCUAACUAUAAAUGGUAGCUACAAUCUGCUAGUAAUGUAAUAAAGAUUUUAACUUAACUAGAAUUGCUUCUAGCAUUUUGUAUAGCCCAACUAACCUUAGCACAUCAGUCCCUAGACAUUCGGCACAACCUUAGACAUCUUACAAGUCGAGACCAAAUGAUAAUAGUAAAUCAGACUUGGAGAAAAGGUGCUCAAUUGUCCAGAUUCCUGCUACAUAACACACAAUCAAGUCAGCUUGUACACCCCAUUUCAGCCAUGUACAUAAGCCUUAAUUGUAUUGCAAUCAGAAGCUCUAAAUACUUGAACUGUCAAAAGCUUAAAGCUGUAAGUAGAAGCUAUACAAUCAUAUCUAGUUUCUGUACUUUCUCCUUGAUCAUGAAUAUCUUGAGCAACCCUUCUUAGAAUAUUCUUAACUGUGCAAUCUUUAUCUUGAUGGUUCCUUUCUAACUAUAAAUGGUAGCUACAAUCUGCUAGUAAAGUAAUAAAGAUUUUAACUUAACUAGAAUUGCUUCUAGCAUUUUGUAUAGCCCAACUAACCUUAGCAGAUCAGUCCCUAGACAUUCGACACACCAUUAGGCAUCUUAGAAGUCGAGACCACAUGAUAGCAGUAAAUUUUCACUUAAAGAAAAGGUGCUCAAUUGUCCAGAUUUCUGGUACAUAACACCCAAUCAAGUCAGUUUGUACACCCCAUUUUAUCUGUCUACAUAAGCCUUAAUUGUAUUGCAAUCAGAAGCUCUAAACACUUGAACCGUCGAAAGCUUAAAUUUGUAAGUAGGAGCAACAAAAUCAUAUGUAGUUUCUGUAUUUUCUCCUUGAACAUGAAUAUCUUGAGCAGCCCUUCUUACAAUAUUCUUUGCUAUGCAAGCUAUACCUUGAUAGUUCCUUUCUAACCAUAAAUGGUAGAUACAAUCUGCUAGUAAUAUAGUGAAGAUUUCAACUUAACUAGAACUGCUUCUAGCAUUUAGUAUAGCCCAACUAACCUUAGAAGACCAAUCCAUAGACAUUCAGCACACCCUUAGGCAUCUUAGAAAUCGAGACCAAAUGAUAGCAGUAAAUAAGUACAUAAAGAAAAGGUGCUCAAUUAUCCCGAUUCCUGCUACAUAACACACAGUCAGGUCAACUUGUACACCCCAUUUCAGUCGUCUACAUAAGCCUUAAUUGUAUUGCAAUCCGAAGCUCUAAAUACUUGAACUGUCAAAAUCUUUAAUCUGUAAGUAGAAGCUACAAAAUCACAUGUAGUUUCUAUACUUUCUUCAUGAACAUGGAUAUCUUGAGCACAGGUACAAUUUUGCAUUUUAGUGUGAGUUGGAAAGAAAAUGUUUAUUGGAAGCCUUCUAACUUUUCCAUGUGUGUUGAGAUAACUCAUUAUUUGGAUAAAAUUAAAAUCAGAUUUCCGUUUGAUAGUUUUAAUUGUUAAAAUGACAUCCUUUGAGUUAUGCAAUUACAUAUUGAUUAAUUCCAUUGGUUUUGACUAACAUAUCUUUAGUUCUUACAGUAACUGUUGAGAAAAGAAUAUCUUGAACUUUAUGGACAAUUCUACCAAUAAAAAGUGGUUGUAUUGUGAUAGAGUUAGUAAACAAUACUUGGAUGGAGUAAAUGAUUUUAUAAAUCAUGCCUUUUCUACAAAACAAGAUGGAGACAAAUUUGCAUGUCCCUGUACAGAAUGUGUGCUUUUCCAUCAAGUCAAUAGGGAUACAGCAUAUGAUCAUCUUAUGAUUGCUAUCAUAUGAUACUUGGUUUUGUCAUGGAGAGUGUCUAAAUAGAUCAAACAAUACGCAAGUAACUAAUGGCGGCCAAUCAACUUUAAGGGGUGAUGAUGUGUGAGGAAUGAUACAUGAUGCCUUUGGAUGUUGUACACAGUUCAUGGAUAGUGAUGUCAAUGAAAGGGGCGAGAUGGAGCCAAACCUACAGUAAAAUACCACUCAUACGUCUAAAAAUCAAACUCAUCCUGAGGUGGAUAAGUUUGAACGACUCAUGAAGGAGGCAAAUGAAGAACUAUGGGCCCGUUUGGAUGGGCUUUAAGUUGGUCAAAACCAACUUAAAGCCCGUUUUUAGCUUUUGAACGUGUUUGCCUAAUGCUAACUUUUAAGCCAUAAAGUUCUUAAAGUCAGUCAAAAAUGAAAAGUUAGGAUUCCUAACUUUUUUUUCCUAAGUGCUUAAAGUCAUUUUCUUUGACCAUGGAAAUUACUUUUAUAUCCCUUAUAUUUUAACUAAAUUCCCAAACUACCCUUUGUAUUCUUUUAACCCUAAAAUUCACAUCAUUUUCCUCAUUUAAGCACUUUUAUCCAAACACUCAACUGCUUAUUUAUAAAAAUAACUUUCAGCACUUCAAAGUUCUAAAAGCACUUCAUAAAUAAAAAUUACUUUUUUUAAGCCCAUCCAAACGGGCUCUAUAUCCUGGAUAUAAGAAGUUGCUACAUAUCUAUCGUACAAAAUGCAUGUUCAAAUGGUCAAAUGAAUCUUUUGAUUCUUUGCUUGGACUAUUGAAAAAUGUGCUGCCGGAAGGAGAAAAAUUGCCUCCUUUCUAUGAAACCAAAAAGAUAGUUGAAGGUUUGGGCUUAAAGUAUGAAACGAUUCAUGCUUGUCCCAAUGGUUGCAUGCUUUUCAGAAAAGAGUUUGCCAGUAAGGAUGUCAAUGAAUGCAAAAUUUGUGGAGCUUCUAGAUGGAAAAAUAAUGCAAAGAAAAUUCCAGCCAAGGUCCUAAGGUAUUUUCCUUUAAAAUCAAGACUACAAAGAUUAUUUAUGUCUUUAUAAAAUUCUAAGGUAAUGCGUUGGCAUCAUGAAGAGCGCAACAAAGAUGGAGUUCUACGACAUCCUGCAGAUUCCAAAGCUUGGAAAAGUUUUGAUAGUAAGUAUCUUGAAUUUGUUGGAGAUCCUCACAAUGUUCGUCUGGGAUUAGCUUCUGAUGGGUUUAAUCCGAUUGGCACAAUGUGAAUUGUUCACAGUACUUGGCCAGUGAUUUUAAUGCCAUAUAAUCUUCCACCAUGGAUGUGCAUGAAAGAAGAGUUCUUUAUUCUGUCCUUACUUGUUCCUGGACCAAAAUCACCUGACAAUAAUAUUGAUGUCUUUUUGCAACCAUUAAUAGAAGAGCUAAAUGAAUUGUGGAGUGUCGGGGUGGAAACAUAUGAUGCUUCUACAAAGGAGACAUUUCAAAUGAGAGCAGCUCUCAUGUGGACUAUAAAUGAUUUUCUAGCAUAUGGUACUUUUUCUGGAUGGAGCACUUCUGGUGGGUUUGCAUGCCCUUCUUGCAAUAUAAACACUUAAUUUAAAAGGCUCAAACAUGGCCGGAAAUUUUGUUUCAUGGGGCAUCGACGUUUCUUGAAGCAUGGUCACAAAUAUCAAAAUGAUGCAAAAUCAUUUGAUGGGACCAAAGAAACGAGACCUGCACCUUUUUCAAUAUCUGGAUCACAAGUGCUGGAUCAAGUAAAAGAUAUAAAGUUUACUCUAGGCCAGUCAAGUGAAGAGGUAAGUGUGGUGAUGAAAAACACAUGUAAAAAAAAGAGCAUAUUUUUUGAUCUUCCUUAUUGGGAGUAUAACUUGGUGCGCCAUAAUCUUGAUGUAAUGCACAUAGAAAAGAAUGUGUGUGAUAACAUAAUGUAUACAUUAUUGGGUCUUGGUAAGAAGCCAAUACAAUAUAGAAGCACGAUUGGACUUGAAGGAGAUAAAAAUAAGACCAAGCUUAUGGCCUCAAUAUCGAGCUAGUGGGAGGGCAUAUCUUCCUCCUACUUAUUUCACAAUGUCUUCAAAUGAAAAAGAGAUGUUUUAUGAAGUACUACAAAAUGCCAAGUUUCCACAUGGCUAUGCGUCUAAUAUCUCAUGUUGGAUACGCAAACGAAAGCUAUCUGGGCUAAAAACUCAUGAUUGCCAUGUUAUAAUGCAAGAACUUCUUCCUCUUACCUUGAGGAGAACAACAGGUAAAAGAUUUAAAUCAGUUUUAAUUGAACUAUGCACAUUCUUUCGUGUUUUGUGUAGCAAAGUGCUAAAACUAGAAGACUUAAAAUUACUUGAAGAAAAAAUUCCAGAAACAUUGUCUACUAUGGAAAAACCCUUCCCCCAGGAUUCUUUACUAUUAUGGUACACUUGAUUACUAACUUGGCAACUGAGGCUAAACUUGCAGGUCCAGUACAUUAUCGCUGGAUAUACCCAAUUGAUGAAGGUUCAAUAGCAGAAGCAUACAUAGCAAAUGAAUGUUUGGCAUUUUCCUCAUGAUAUUUGGAGGGUGGAGAUUCAAAGUCUUAUUGUUAAAGAAGAUGUGAUGAUGAUAUUGAGCAUGACUAGUAAAGAAGAAUGCCUUUUUCCUACUACUGUGGAGUCAUACUAUGGAGUAGAUGUAUAUGAAAUGGAUGAGAAAACAUUGUUGCAAGCACAUCGGCAUGUGCUUUUUAAUUGCGAGUGAGAGCUCGUUGAGAAUUAUAAAAAAGAACAUAUUGUUGAAAUCAAGAGAUCACAUUGUAAGCAUCGUUUGACUCAACAUCAACUUGAUCGUAUGCAUUUCGAUACAUUUAGUGAGUGGUUCAAGGAGCAAGUAAAAGAGUUGGAGGCCACAUCUGACAAAUUAAAGAAUGUCAAAGUUCUUGCAAAAGGGGCAAGUUACAUUGCAAAAAGAUUCAGUGCAUUUGAUGUAAAUAAUAGGUAUCGAUUUCGAACAUAACAAAAUGAAGAGUACUUAGAGACAUAAAAUAGUGGUGUUAUGGUCGUUUCCAAGACCGAAAGUUAUACAAGUUCAAGUGACAAUGCUCCAAAGUCUGCAAAUAUCACAUAUUAUGGUAGAUUGAAUCAUUGUGGAGUUAAACUACUAUGAAGAAUUUAAAGUUGUCUUAUUUAAAUGUGAUUGGGCUGAUGUACUCAAAGGCAAAGGAGUUAUGGAAGAUGACUUGGGUUUCAUAUUUGUUAAUUUUUCACGCCUGGCUGAUUCUGGCGAUCGAGAACGUCAUGAGCCCUUUAUUUUUGCAGAACAAGCUCAACAAGUAAUAUUUGUGAAAGAUCAUCAAGAUCAUAAAUGGUUUGUCCCUGGGUUAAUUAAACCUAGAGAUGUUUUUGAUAUGGGAGAGGAAAAUAGUGUGCAGUUAGAGUCAUCAAUGCACAGUGAUUCCACUUGGCUAUCAUAGAAAAUUCUCAUGUUCCAGAGUAUGAGACUAAUGAUUGGGUAAGAAGUGGAGUCGAUCGAAGAAUAAUUGAUACAAAACUCCAUACUCGAGGGAGGAAAUGAUAUUGAAAAUGAAAGUGAUCCUGAAUGAUAGGUGGUUAUUAUAAAAUAUAUUUUUUUCAAAUGUUAUUAAAAAACCUUUAGGUAUUUGUUAUUUUUUAUAUAUAAAUUUGAAUAAAAUAUCUUUACGGAUUUGCUUUCAAUCUGAGUCAUUUUAUUGAAGAUCAUGUUAGUGAUCAACUAUAAAUUUUCCUAUGUUUGUUUUGGUUAAUUAGUGAAGGUUUUCAGUGAAUCUGUGCUUGCUUUUACUUAUAUUUUGUUGUUUUAUUCCUUGGAUUGAGAAGUGAGGAUGUGUUCUUAUGAAUUGGAAUUUUGCUUAUCCCUGGUGCAUUAGUAUGUGUUUUCAUGGCUUAAGAUGAGAAUGAUGCUAUAUCUUGUAUUCCAUUUGUCCUGUUAUUCUGCUACCAGUGCAACUUAAUGCAUCUAUGUAGUUACUUCAUUUUAGAUAAGAAAGUAUGCAAACUAGAGGUCGCUACAGAUUGGACAUUCAACUUUAAAAUGAUCAAGAUGUGCGACAAUAUUUUGAGCAGUUGAUACGUAACAUCGAUCGAGCCCAACCUUAUCUUGAGCAGUUGAUAAAUAGGCAAAAUCACUCUGAAACCCAAUAUCAUGUUGAUCAAUCUAAUGAGUUGAAUAAUUCUGUUGAUGGCACUGAGGAAUCAGGUAAUUCGGAGACAAGAAAGGUAUGUGGUCCUACUUUACUUGAAGAUAUUUGGAAGCUUCCUCCGGGAAAAACAGUUGACGUGCCGUUUAAUAGUCAUAACCAAGCUAUUGGAGAAAAGGGUUGAAAUCUUGCUACAUUUUUAGGAAUUAUUGCAAGAACUCCAGAAUUAACACCUCUACACGUAGAUGAUUGGAGAAAUAUCGACAAUGAGGAAAAGAAAAAAUUGUUGAAUUUUGUGAGGAAGAAGUUCUCUAUCCCAAAAUGCGGAGAAGACUUUUUUCUUAAAAGUCACUAGGAAAGAAAUGAAAAGAUUACAAGUGCCAAUUAAAAGGUGACCAUAUUCCAAAGUAUAAGACUAAAGAUGCUUUGCUGAAAAAUAGACCAAGUCGUAUACUGAGAGAUCAAUGGAGUGGUCAUGUCUCUUAUUGACUUUCUGAGAAAGCUAAGAGACAUACCCAGGCAAAUAGAAAUAAUAGGGCCAAGCAAAAGAUGCCUCACACAGGAGGAUCCAAAAGUAUUGCUACCUUGAUGGAUGAGAAUGUCGAAAAUGGUAUAGAGCCAACACGAGCAAAAAUUUUCUUAUUAACUCAUAAAAAACGCAUGGAUGGUAGACCAUUGGAUGAUUAUCUGCCAAAGCUAUUGACAUGAUAAAUGAAAAGUUGAGCAAUAGUGAGGAAUCUACUGACCAACCUUGUCACCAUGUUUCUUGGAAAGGUGAUGUGUAUUCCCAGGUGUUGGAAAAUGAAAGAAGUGGAUAUGUUCGUGGUUUAGGACUUAGUUCAACUCCUUCAGUUCUAUGGGGUAGUAGAUCUUCCUUUGGAAAUAUUAAUGAAGAGGAUUCGUCUAAUGAAGUUGUAAAAAGGUUAGAACAUGAGAUUACUGAAUUAAAGGCGAAACAAAAUGAAGAAAUGAAUCUUAUGAAACAAAAUCAGGAGAAUAUGCAAUCAGAAUUACUCCAAAUGAGAUCAUUCAUGCGCAAAUAUGCUCCUAAUAAAUCUGUCUCAAAAUAUCAGCGACACCUCAAGUGAACAGGUAGUUGGAUUAGACAUUUUUAUGAAAUUUUAAUCCUAUAAAAGUAUUGUUAAUUGAUGUGUUAAUAUUUAUCAAGUCUCCGACGUCGACAGUGGUCAUGGACAAAUACCACAAACAACAAGGAUUACUAGUAUUGCUGAAAAUACUCCAACUUCUCAUGGUCAUACAGUCUGAUGUUCAAAACUUUUGCCUAUGAAAUAUUUCAAUAUGACGAACAAUUGUGGAAAUUCUUUAAAGACAUUACUUGAUAGGAUUGGUUCUAUAAUGAUAUUAGUUAUUUCAUUCAGCUAAUAUAAGUUUAUUUUUAAGUUGGGAUACCUCUUUUUUUGGA
Molecule: long non-coding RNA, 9415 nt
Organism: Solanum dulcamara
Lineage: Eukaryota; Viridiplantae; Streptophyta; Magnoliopsida; Solanales; Solanaceae
Exons: 10
Source: RefSeq, a predicted model, not a curated record